Molecule: ribosomal RNA, 236 nt
Filed under: uncultured prokaryote
Description: partial 16S ribosomal RNA
Rfam family: Bacterial small subunit ribosomal RNA
Source: RNAcentral
UACGUAGGGUGCAAGCGUUAAUCGGAAUUACUGGGCGUAAAGCGUGCGCAGGCGGUGAUGUAAGACAGAUGUGAAAUCCCCGGGCUCAACCUGGGAACUGCAUUUGUGACUGCAUCGCUGGAGUGCGGCAGAGGGGGAUGGAAUUCCGCGUGUAGCAGUGAAAUGCGUAGAUAUCCGAAGGAACAUCAGUGGCGAAAGCGGCUUCCUGGACCAGAACUGACGAUCAGGCACGAAAG